RNAcentral lists this long non-coding RNA (40452 nucleotides) under Malus domestica (apple). RNAcentral describes it as "long non-coding RNA (MDOM_LNC011816)". The record is from RNAcentral. Lineage: Eukaryota; Viridiplantae; Streptophyta; Magnoliopsida; Rosales; Rosaceae.
ACCGUUAUGAAGUUUCCGGUGUUCUGGCCAUCUGCACGCAUGUAGUUGUUUGUAGAGGUGCUAUGGAUACCAGCAGGAAUCGCCUUGGUGAUAUCAACUGGUUCAGGAGCAGGAGCAGGAGCAACAGGCUUGGAAGCAGGCUCAUCUGGAACUGGCGCAGCUUGAGCAUUGUUGGCAGCCGGUUUUGGAGCCUCUCCACUCCCAAAAAGAUAGUUCAAAGAACUCUGUCCCCCACCGCUGCUAACUCCACGACCCAUGUUCUGUAACUUCUUCACAGAUAACCCUACACCCUUACAUUACAAACAGAUGUUUAGAGUGGAAUUCUGGAAUAAAGAACAAAAUUGCAAGAAACUAUACCAAUGAUUCCUAAUUGACGCCUCAACCAGUAAAGAAUAUACCUACAGGAACAAUUAUCACAAUAACUCUGUCACUACUUGACUCAGUGUCACGAAAUACUUUGAAAUCAAAACACCAUAACAUGAUCUAAACCAUUGAUCCAUUUUAUAAAUCGAACCACUCACAAGAAACCCGAACGAGAAGGAAAAAACAAAAAUCUUAAGAGUCUGCACCAUGAACUUCAAGGUUGGAAUCUGCCUUCGUCACAAAAAGGGUCAACUUUUCGAUGUUUGAUAUACCAAACAAAUUCAAUUUCUACUUAUUUUGGAAUGAUUUCUUCACAAUUUUUAAAACCCAAUUGAUCGGUUCAGCUAAAUUACACAAACAGAAGUUCAAUUUAGCAAAAUGCAGGCUCACACGCAGACACUUUGUCGGUAUAAAAAAUCGAAAACAGACAGAUCCACGAUCAACAGUUCAUCCUAGAAACCUCAAAAAUCAGAAGCAAAAGAAACGUCUCAGUCAAACACUACCACGAAUCAAAACAUACAUCUAUAGAUCUACCAAAUGAAAUGCACCCCAAAAAUCCACCGAUUAAAUAUCAAAAUUAUCCACUAGGAAAAGCAUCAAAUCAAGCACAGUAAAAUUGGGUUCUAAAAAAGCGAGAAAUUGAAAGCGAAACGCAGCGAUUGAAUCGUGUAAGUCAAAAUCCGAGAAGGGAGGCAGAGAUCUAGGGUUAGAGAGAGGGGCGCGUAGGGUACCUGGUUGUUGGGAUCAGAUCUGGAAGGGAGAGCUGUGGAAGCAGAGAGUGUUGAGCUACUGGAGACACACAGAAACUGCACGCCACUUCUAGGUGUUAUAUAAACAUAUCAGUGCAGAUACGCUGUCACUGUUUUCCAAUUUUUAUUUUAUUAUUUUUUGAAUUAUCCAGAUUUUAUUUAUUAAAUAUUUCAAUUUUCACAAAUUUAAACCCUACCCCAAAAAAAUAAAUAGGUCAAUAUUUGGUGGAAAUUUGCAAUAUUAAUCUUACUGAAAUUGAAUCGACCAUCUUGGUUCUCUAAUUCUUUACUUUUUCAGAAUUUUUAUUUUCUUUUUAUAAAACAAAUGCUGCAUAUGCGAAAAAUGAUAAUUAAACAAUGAGAUUUAUUGUUAGAUGAAAAUUUAAAUAUGAAUCGUUGAUCAUAUAUUUAAAUGAAAUUAUAUUUUUUACCGCUUCGUUUGAUUGUGACACAGAACUUUAGGUCAUCACCAACCGAACAAGGGUCAAAGGGCUCCAAAGAGUCAUAGGCCAAACAUAGCUAUUUGACAAAAAUCAUCUCAAUGACAUCACCCAAGGCUAUGAAGUUGAAACCAGAGUACAUUAACUCCAACAAGAAUAAGUUCUAACUGAAACCCUUGGGUGUACAUGACCACCCAACGACAACCAAUGCUCUUAUUGAGUGAAAGAGAAAACAGAAAAAGACGACCAAGCAAAAGCAGAAACUCAAAUGUACUAGUCGGCUCCAUGUGUGCUAGUACCAUAAAUUUCAAAACAAGAUUAUCAAAACCCAGAAGAAAAUUAAAUCACUUGCACCCUAAUCGUGCACACACUUGCACCCUAAUCGUGCACACAACGUAAUGAAAAUUAAAUCACUUGCACUCUAAUCAUGCACACAACUUAAGAUACGAAAAUAAAUUAAAUCACUUACCUAUUCAAUGGAUACAAAACAUUAAGAAAAAAAAAGGGCAGUAAAGUCCGAAACAUUAAGAGAGAGAAAAAAAAACGGCGGUAAAGUAAAGGAUUAUUUGGACAGCUUUAAAACAGCAUUGUUGCAAUUGUCAUAAUUCAUAAAAGUCGAUAUUAGCAUGUGGCUAAAUGAGGAAUAACAGACUUGAUACCAGGACAAAUAAAAGGAAACCGAAUGCAAUAACCAAUUUAGGUAGACGUUUAGAAGCAUCUGAAGGCAGACCCACCUCGAUCAGCCAUCCAAGGAGGUGGCAUUUUUCAGUUCGUUAAAGCAGAAAUUUUUCAAAUUAGAGGACUGCAGGAUCUCGCCCUCUAUCCAAGGAGUUGAAACGCACUGAGACAGACGACACCCUUGCUAUCUGAAUGUAAUCCUACACAUUUCAAAUACCAUAUAACUAGUAAAUAAUGCUCAACAUUCAGUCAUCAUAUAAAGUUCUAAAAAUAAUCUAUAACAUCACAAUAAAAAAUAGUAAGGCCAAGUUAGUUGUUUCUGUAUACAGUACAGAAACUAAAACCUCAAUUUUGCCAUAGAUUGAUUUUGAACAACAAAAUGGUUAGCUUUUGAUGAUGCCACAACUUAUGAAGUACAGUGGUAAUCUAACAUGGUGUUUGAGGUUCGGUUCCAAUCAGUGGCGGAGCCAGGAAUCUUACCACAAGGGGUCUUAGUGUAAGUCCAAAUAAAAAUUUAGGAUGGAAAAACAUAUUGAAAAUGAAAUCAUAGUACUUUCUUUCAUAAUUCAUAAUGUAAACAAUAUUACAAGCUAUAAUUGUCCAUGACGAGGUUUCAUAUUUUGAAAACGAAGCAUUAUAGCUUCAUUUUCAAUACAAGCAAAAAUAUCUCUCUCAAUAUAAACAAGCAAGCUAUCACUCAACCAUUGAUCUCCCAUUUUGUUCCUAAGUGGACCCUUAACAAUAUUCAUGACAGAAAAUGCUCUCUCCACUGAAGCAGUUGCAACUGGUAAAACUAAAAAACAAUGUAAUGAGCAAAAUAUACAUAAUUGAAUACUUGAUGCAUCCUUGUCUCCACCAUUUUUUUUUGCAAGAUCACCAAUCCCUUCCAAUUGAGAGAAAUCACUACUGGAACGCACAUAAUAAAUAUAAAUCUCAAGUUGAUCUUCAAGUGUCAAACGAUCCUCAUCAUCCGAAAAGUCUUGAGGAUAAAAUUGAGCAAGACGAAGUAACUUUGGUUUAUCAAAAAGCUACAAAUGAAUCUUUCGGACUCAAACAUGUCAAACAAAUAAGCAACUCAGUAUUUACCUCAUUAAAGCGAUCCUCUAACUCUGUAAUUUGCUCAUCAAUGACAUAAAUAAAGAGCUCCACACGAUAAUGAUGACGAUUUGUUCUUAUUGGAGCAUUACGCCUUGACCUCCCUGGAAGUAUAAAUGCCUCUUCCACGUUAGGAACAUCAAUAUGAUGUUUUUCACAAAAAGAAGAUACUUCAUCAACUAAUGCAUCGAACCCAUUAUUCCUCAUCCAAUGUAGCUUUUCCCUACAUGAUUUCACUAAAGCCAUUGCAUUCACAAUUUCUUGAUCUUUCCUUUGCAAUGCUUGUGACAAAUCAUUUGUGAAUCCCAAUAUGACUUUCAUCAAGAAAAGGUGAAAUAUAAACUCAAAAGUACGUAUUUCUCUCAUUAACUUAUUUGCAUCACCCGCACUUUCAUUGGGAUUAUCAUCAAUAACCAUUUGAAGCACAUGAACCACGGAUGUAAACAUGGAAAUAAUGCUAAUCAAGGUACCAUAGUGUGAGUUCCAUCGUGUGUCACCGGCACGUUUGAGACUUGUUUCUUGAUUUAAGCCUCGUCCCGUUAUAAGACAAUCAUUUUCAAAAGCUAUCACAAGCUCUUCUUGAAGUUAUUGUCUAAGUAAAUCACACCGCUUACAAGAUGCUCUAACAUGAUUAACCACACUAUUAGCCGUUGCAAAAAAAGAGGCAAUGUCUAUAUUCUUCUUUGCUACGGAAACAAUAGCUAGUUGAAGUUGAAGAGCAAAGCAAUGAACAUAAUAUGCACAAGGUUGUUCUCUCAAUAUCUUUGUUUUAAGACCAUUCAACUCACCUCUCAUAUUGCUAGCACCAUUAUAACCUUAUCCUCGUAGCUUGGAAAUGCUCAAACCGUUGCAAGAAAAGAAUGUGUCGAUAGCAUCCUUUAGUGAACUUGAAGUAGUCUCGGUAACAUGUUGGAUACUCACAAAUCUUUCAAUUACAUGCCCGUUGUCAUCCACAUAACACAACACCAUAGCCAUUUGCUCUUUCACCGACACAUCACGUGCUUCAUCCACCAAUAUUGAAAAGAAUCUAUCUUUUAGACCAUCCAUGAUAGCAUCAAGUGUUUCAAGGGCACAUGAAUUCACAAUUUCUUUUUGAAUGGAAGGAGCUAGUAAUUUGAGAUUCCUCGGAGCAUUUUCCAUCACAACUUCUCUAACUUUAUCAUCAUUAUCUGCAAUGAAUUGCAAUAGCUCCAAGUAAUUUCCCAUAUUGCUUAAAGUGGCACUUUCAUCAUAGCCACGAAAAGCAAGACCUGUUGCAAUAAAAACUUAGUGCACUUGAUUGAUGCAUUCAAGCAUGUGCGAUAAGCCUUACGAGCUUGGUCAAAGUGUUUGCUCACUACCGUUUCAAUAUGUGUAGCUUGAUUCAUCAAAUUUGUAGCAGCUUCUCUAGCAUUAUUAUGAACACUCUAAACCGGUCUAACAUGCAUCUUAAAUCUGUCUCUCCCUUUCUUCCAAGUCUUAAAUCCAUCUCUAGUAAAAGCUUCACUACCCACUUGUUCAAAAUUGGUUUUAAAGAGAUAGCAAUAAAGACAAAAUGCCGCAUCUUUAGAUAUACUAUACUCCAACCAAUCAAACUCAUCAAACCAUUGGGGAAUGAAGCGUCGAUUAAUUCCCGACAUAUUAGUUAUUGGGAAAUUAUGACCUCUAGGUUGACAAGGUCCUUUUUGUAUAUAUGAUCUUCGGACCUCAUCUCUCAUAUUAGCAUCAUAAUCUAUCAUUUGAAUUCUUAAUCCAGGAUCCGCUUGAAGAUUACCCAAAACACCAUCUAACUGACUUUGUCUUGAACUUGGAGUUCUUGAACUACCAACAGUAUUUGAACUAUCAACAUUAUUCGAACUACCCGAACCCGAUGAUGACUUUCUCUUAAAAAACCGUUCCAUAAUAAUUCUACAUAUACAAAAUAUUCAAAAUAAAUACUCACAAUAUAAACAAACCAUCAACAUAAUCAAAAUAAAUAUGAAUUGGAUUUCAAUUAAAUUAAAUAUAUUCUACAUAUACAAAAUAAUGAAAAUAAAAACUCACAAUAUAAACAAACCAUCAACAUAAUCAAAAUAAAUAUGAAUUGGAUUUCAAUUAAAUUAAAUAUAUUCUACAUAUACAAAAUACUGAAAAUAAAAACUCACAAUAUAAAAAAACCAUCAAUAUAAUCAAAAUAAAUAUGAAUUGGAUUUCAAUUAAAUUAAAUAUAUUCUACAUAUACAAAAUAAUGAAAAUAAAAACUCACAAUAUAAACAAACCAUCAAUAUAAUCAAAAUAAAUAUGAAUUGAAUUUCAAUUAAAUUAAAUAUAUUCUACAUAUACAAAAUAAUGAAAAUAAAAACUAAUCAAACCACCAAUAUAAUCAAAAUAAAUAUGAAUUAGGUUUCAAUUAAAUUAAAUAUAUCAUACAUUAUACAUAGGGUUUAGAACUUACUUGAAUUGUGAAAUUUCACAAUAACAAUGUUAAUGAGCAAAUACAAAGAGAGUAGCUGGCGCGGCACCACCACCACAGCGACGACGACGGCAGCACAAAGGCACCUCAAUGGCGACAGCAAGGGAGGAGAUGGAGUUGAGGGUUUUGGGGGGGGGGGGGACUGAGUUUGGAACUUAGGGUUGGAGAAGGAGAAAACAAAAGAAAAUUUGGGGUUUUGGAAUGGGGGAGUUGGAUCUGUGAAAAAAAGAAGGAGAGCUGUUUUUUUUUUUUUCUUUUCAAACCUGGCCCAAAACGACGUCGUUUUGGCCAGGUCAUUUAAAAAAAAUUGCCUGGGCCAAAACGACGUCGUUUUGCCCAGGUUGUUUUUUAAAAAAAAAGGCCCACGCGCGGCGCCUCCUUCUUCUUCAACCUGCAAGGCUGCCUUCUUCUUUCAAACAUUCCGUCGAACACAUGGUGUGCAGCUCCGAGGGGUCGCACCAGCAGCUCCAAGGGACCUCUAAGGUUAUUUCCAUGGCUUCCAAGAGGUUGUGCGACCCCAUUGACCCCGCUAUGGCUCCCCCUCUGGUUCCAAUAGGUCUUGCUUUCAAACCUCUAAAGCAACACUCCCCAAUUGAUGGGGAAAACAUAUAAGCUCCAUUAAAUCCUAGAAAAUAAUCAAAAACAUAACAACAAAAGAGUAUAAUAAAAACCAGCAAGUCCAUGCAAAUCUGAGUUAAACUCGAUCGUAACGAACUUAAAAGUUUGUGGUUUAAAAAGCUCUAGCCUUUGAUAUGCCUCUAUAUAGCAAAAGAAAUGGAAGGCAAUAAAAUUCAAGUUUCUCACUAACUUUCAAUAACUUUCAUAUUUGGGAGAAUCAGAGUAGUAACAAUCACAAUAUCACAUAACCCCAGAAGUAGAACCCAACACAGAAUUGCUCAAAACAAAAAUUCCAAACAAAAUCUACUGUUUCAGCAAAAACAAAACAGUCGUUGAUUAUUUGGGAGAAUCAGAGUAGUAACAAUCACAACUAACAGCCGUUGGCUGUAGAGAUAAGAUACAAUAAUCAAAUCUCUACAAGCUUCGACCAUGGCAACUAUCAACAGUACAACUAUCCAGCUCAAACCUAAACCAAAAUAAUAUAAAGCUUUUACCUAAAAAAUAAAUGUCACAGCAUCAAAAAUAAAUGUCAUACUUUCUUUUAUACCUUUUACCUAAAAAAUGCUGGGAAGAUGGUCUAGAAAAAGGUGAACAAAAGAAGAUUAGGACAAACACUACCCCCAUGUGAAAACAACAACAGCUUUUGCAAUCGAAAAAAAAAGAAAGAAAAUGACAAUGGCUUCCUACUGACAACAGUUUUAACAGAAAAAUCAUGAUACGUCAAAGGAAGGAAGUUAAUAUCCGAGAUAUACUAACAUACCCCUCAGCUUUCCUAGCAGUACUUAUGAGAGCUCGCCAAGCAGUCAGAGAAGCAAAAGGAAUGGCACUGGCUUCCUAGAAUCACAUAGUAAGAUCAAGGUUCUAAAAAACAUUAGCGCUAGUCAGGUGGUGGGCUAGCACCUAGCGCCUAGGUGGCGUUUAGGUGAGCGCCUAGGCGGAUUUAGGUAAAUUUCUUGUAUAUCUUGUAAAUAAGUGCAUAUUGACACCUAAAAAAAAACUAUACUUGUAUGGAUAAUAAAAUAAUGAUAAAAUGCAAAUUAGGUACACUAUUUCCAUAAGUAUUGGAUGAACUUGUAGUAAAUCCAUCAUUUGCAAAUUAGAUACACCAUUUCCAUAAGUAUACCACCAUGAAACCAAAAAAGAAAAAAAGCACGCAAUUAAUAAAAAUAAAAAAAUAAAAAACUCCCUAGGACCGCCUAGGACCGCCUUGCCCGCCAAGCCACCCAGCCCGCCUAGGCGCCACCUAGGCCCAACCCGAUUUUUCCGCGCAAUUUGCCCAAAAACGUCUUGGUUGCUAGGUGCCCAGCGCCUAGGCGGCCGCCUAGGGCGUUUUUUAGAACACUAAGUAAGAUAAAGCCAAAUUGAGUUGUCAGACAACAAUAACCGGAAUAUGAAUUUAAAAACUCUCAUCUACAUGACAACAUCUCACCAUGAAAUCCUAAUGUAUACAUAAAUCAUGAAAGAAUUGAUAACAUGAUAUAUUAUGUUCAUAUUGCAUCAUAUGCAUGGAAUUUCACAAAUCACCACUUUAAAUAUUUUUUNNNNNNNNNNNNNNNNNNNNNNNNNNNNNNNNNNNNNNNNNNNNNNNNNNNNNNNNNNNNNNNNNNNNNNNNNNNNNNNNNNNNNNNNNNNNNNNNNNNNNNNNNNNNNNNNNNNNNNNNNNNNNNNNNNNNNNNNNNNNNNNNNNNNNNNNNNNNNNNNNNNNNNNNNNNNNNNNNNNNNNNNNNNNNNNNNNNNNNNNNNNNNNNNNNNNNNNNNNNNNNNNNNNNNNNNNNNNNNNNNNNNNNNNNNNNNNNNNNNNNNNNNNNNNNNNNNNNNNNNNNNNNNNNNNNNNNNNNNNNNNNNNNNNNNNNNNNNNNNNNNNNNNNNNNNNNNNNNNNNNNNNNNNNNNNNNNNNNNNNNNNNNNNNNNNNNNNNNNNNNNNNNNNNNNNNNNNNNNNNNNNNNNNNNNNNNNNNNNNNNNNNNNNNNNNNNNNNNNNNNNNNNNNNNNNNNNNNNNNNNNNNNNNNNNNNNNNNNNNNNNNNNNNNNNNNNNNNNNNNAACUUUCGGAAAUCGAAUUGUACAAUUCAACCAAACUGUUGGGUAGAUUCCAGCAUAAUUCUUGAUUGGUUUGUGUGAAUUAGAAAUUAAUCAGGAGUAUCGUAAUGCGGUUUCAUACACUGUAGUUUCGAUUCAUUACUUCACAUUGUUCCCUUCCCUUCUCCUCAUGGCAUGGUAAUAUAGAAUGGUAAUGCAUGAUAGUAGUAGAUUUAUAUUUCAUUUGUCACUUUGGAAAUUCUGGUCAUUAUGCAAACGUCGCGAGGUAAAACUCAAAUGGUUUUGGUUAUGUGCUCAUUUUGCUAUCACUUUCUUAGGAUUAGGAAAGUUAUAUAUUGCAUAUGGAACCAACCGGACUGCUUCUACCUUCCAGAAAACAAGGAUGGGAUUAGCCUAACCUUAAAAGGAUAGAUUAAUGACUAAUUAAGUGGGUGUUUAAGCUUAACCCUGUCGUGAUUUUAGGAGGAAGCAACAGACUGAUAGCCGUAGGUGAUCCGAUCGCAUAGCUCGGUAACCUCAUUCCUUUAGAAAUGCAUUACCAUUCAUAUGGCCCCGGAUUAAGGGCUUUUGUUUUCCCCCUUGCCGUCCCAUUAUGAUAUAAUCUACACCAAGGGGUAUGGAAAUGAGUUAACUCUCACAAUAUGUAAAUGUGGUUCAAAUUCUUUUUUUUACGAGAAUCGAACUUAAGACUUCUCUCUUAUAAAUGAAGGGAAAUGUCACUAAAAAGGCGAUUUUUUUAACCUUGAAAUCCUUAGUUAAAACUAAAAUAAUCAAAUAUCUAUCAGUUAAAAGUUUAAGAUAUAAAGAUAAGGAAAACUAAUGAAAAAAGUUUGAAAACUUUGAGUUUUAACGAUAAGGACAAAAUAAAUGGUAAAGUGAAUAGUAUCAGGAUUGACUUUUUUGUGUGUAAAAAAAAUAUGAUUUUUCGUUGAAGUAAACAAUACCGGGAAUUUUUCGUUAAAGUUUCAUAAAGAUAUUCCGGAGUAGCAAAACAUUUGUAAGCAUGAUGAUUUUACCAACCUUGAAAGAAAAAAGGUUGAAUCAUCGAUGAUGUCGAUUUGUGGCAGGGUUAAAAGGAUGAGAAAAAGGAUAGAAAAAGAUAGGGGCGGUGGUCAAAAUUCAAAGGGCCUUUUUGCCUUUUGCUGUGCUCAACUGUACUGCACUCCCGUAUUUCAUUUGUAAGGCAGAAUCUGAUGUCAGAUUUCAUACCACAUAUGCUUCGUUUGCACAAAGAAGCCAACCUACAACUACAUCUACAAGCCAAUGAUUUUCUCAACCAAAAUUUUGAUCAAUUCUAUUAUUUUCUUUAUUAAAAAUGGGGUUGUUCUACAGUAUACUCGUGUAUGAGAUGCACUAUUAUUUGAAUGUAAUUAAAGUCUCAUCAUACUAAUCCAACCAACUGAUCCAAAAGUACAUUGUAUACGUCGAUCUAUUAUAGAAUUUUCAUCAAAAUAAAGAUAAAACUAAGAGUUAAGCUACUCGAACAAGAGAAUUGCAUUAAUUCUCUCUUCUAAAACAUCACUAUACUUGAAAAACUUGAAAACAAACUAGAUUUACAAUAUUAUUUACUUGUAAUGUGACCGAAAUGACGUCUUUUUACCUUAUAGGAAAGGUUAAACCGCACAACUAGUAGCAUAGGGCCGAUGAAGAAAACAAAACAAAACAAAACAAAAUUGCCAUUUGACCUACUCAAUAAUUAAUAACUGACAUGUCAAUGAACAUCAUUUUUAACUUUUUACACAGUUAUAUUUAAUCAUGAUCGUUGAUUUCGUUUAACUCAUUUAAUCCAAUAAUCAUAAAAAAAAAUGCGAGAUGUUAAACUAAAGAUGUGAAAAUUCACUUCCCUCGAUGAAUUGUAAUAAUUAUGAAAUACUCGUUACACAAAGCUACAAUAGUCAUACUAUAAUGUUGAACUCUUUACAAAUAAAACCAUUUUAAUUUGUAUGUGAAUAGAACAUGUAACGAGAAAAAAAGUUUUUUUUUUUUUGUUUUUUUGUUUUUGAAGAAAACGAGAAAAAAAAGUUUUAAAAGAACACAGUUAAUUGAGAAAUGAGAAAUGUUAAAAGGGAAAAGGAUUCUCGCUGGCUUAUGUGGUUGUGACCAUUCAUCGUUCAUCAUCGUGCGAUCAAUUUUCGUUCGGUAUUAUUUAUAUUUUAUUAACUUUAAAUUUUAAAUUUUGAAAUGAUUUCUGACCGCAUGAUGAUAUACGAUAAAACGGUCACGAUCACGGAAUAUUCCAUGUUAAAGAGACUCUCAAAAGCGAAAUUCCUUUAAGAACUUCCAAUCACUUUAUACUUUUGCAUAAUAUUUUAUAAUAUAAGCAUGAAAAUUACGUUAAAUUAGUCCAUAAAAAAUCUCGAUUUAAAAAAGUCUCUCUAAAUUAACUUCACUCAAAAAAAAAAAAGAGUCUCUCUAGAUAAAUUAGUAUAUUUAUUUAUUUAUUUUUAUUUUUUAUAAGUACAUCGAUAUUUUUACAUUAAGAGGAGGAGAGAUUUGGUUAAGCUACAUAAUGGACAGCCUAAUUUGAUAUCGAAUUCGUUAUUCAUAAGAUUCAAAUAUAGAACCUCUCACUUUUAAAUGAAAAAAAAAUACCGUUAAAUCGUAGUAUUGAAUGACUGAUAAAUUAGUUUGUACCUUGUAAGUUGUAACUUGUAACCUCAAGUCGCCUUGUAGUUGAAACUACUUUUUGGUUUUGUUUUUUGCUUUUUGUUUUUUGUUCCUCUCUCUCUCUCUCUCAUAAAUAUCAGUGUCCAGGGACCAAAAACCGCAUCACCCCUCUUCUCAUAACUCUUUCCCACUCCCUCUCGCCUCUCUCUUCGAAAAAAGCUCUCGACGCCCAGAGACCUCACCGCCCUCCGAUCCCUCUUCGUCUUGGUUUAUGAGGUACCUUCUCUCUCUCUCUUCAUCUCUCUCUAUCGAUAUUUCCGUUCUAUUUCUACUGUUUGAUCUCUGCGUUUUAGGUUAAAAUCUUAUUGAAAAGUUUGUAUGUUUUGAGUCACAGAUCUGGUUAUUUACCUAAAAAUCGGAUUUUUCGUGGAAAUUUUGUUUCUUUGAUUGGAUUCUUUGUUUAGGUUGGAAUUUCGUGGAGGGUUUUGCUCAAUCUUUUUGGUUGCUCUUUAUAUGUUACAUUUAUUUACUUUAUUAUUAUUUGGGUCUUUCUGGAAUUAAUCCAAAUUUGAGAUGUAUUUCUUGUUUUUCUGUUCCUUUUUCGUUUUGAUCCAGUUUCUUGUGGUGUGAAUUAGGAUGUUAAUUGUAGUGAAAUUGUAAAUCUUUUCCUUUUUGCUUGGGUGGUGGGGGUCAGGUAAAACUGAAACUUUUAGUGUUAGGUUUUGCACUUUUGCCUUUAUACAGAACGUAAAUUAUAAUUUUUGAAAGGUCUUCACAAUUGGUCUUCUUAAUAAAUUUAUCUGGGUUGUGAAGGUUAGAAAUUUAUAGCUAAAUAGUCAUUAAAUUAUACUAAUUGAGAUUUUCUGUCUUUUUGUACCUGCAGCUCGAAGGAGAGACCCACUCUUGGGUAAGUCUUCGUCAUAUUUUGUCUCAUCAGAUUUACCCUCUGUGUUCUUCGUAUAUGCUUUCAUGUUAUUCUUACGUUUCAGAAUCAAGGUUUAUCUAACUGAUAACUAUAUUGUUUGUUAAAGAAGGAACUUUUAUCAAAUUUUAGUUAGUUAUAACCUAUGACCUUUUGUAAAGACGGUAAAAUGUGUUGUUGCAUCAGCCUCUACUCAAUUAAAUGAAAUUGAUUAUGCUGGCAAUGUGAUUACAGUGGCACGCGGAUUAAAACCCGCAAACGGAAUAUUGCAGCGCCGCUGGACCCUGCAGCUUUUGCGGAUGCAGUGGUCCAGAUUUAUCUGGAUAAUGCUGGUGAUCUGGUAACAUUUAGUUAUGCAUAAAUGAUCUUAUCAUUUGUAUCUGUAUGCAUGUGCGUACUUAUUACUUAAUUAUCUGUUAAAACUAACAAGUAUCUGCUUUGUGCAGGAACUUAUUGCCAAGAGCAUUGAAUCUUCAGACCUUAACUUCUCAAGAUACGGUGACACCUUUUUUGAGGCAAGCUUCAUAAUACUCUAGGGCACUUUUUGUUUCUUGUGGAUGCUACCUUAGAUAAAGUGUUUGUGAUGUGGUAUAAAAUUGACUGGAGGAUUUACUGUAGGUUGUUUUCACUGGAGGCCGUACACAACCUGGAACAACAAAACCUGAUGAGGGGGAGCGCCACCCUUACUCUGUACUAGAGUCUGAGCCUACACGUGAACUCAUCUUGCCAUCGGUUAUCUACAUUCAGAAAAUUUUGAGGCGGAGGCCAUUUCUGAUUAAGAAUCUCGAAAAUGUUAUGCGACGAUUCCUUCAAUCGUUGGAGCUUUUUGAGGAAAAUGAAAGGAAGAAGCUGGCUAUUUUCACAGCACUUGCAUUCUCUCAGAAGCUGUCAGGACUUCCACCAGAAACGGUGUUCCAGCCAAUGCUCAAGGAUAAUCUUGUUGGCAAAGGGCUAGUUCUAUCGUUCAUUACUGAGUUUUUCAAGGAGUAUUUGAUUGAUAAUAGUCUUGAUGAUUUGAUUUCCAUUCUGAAGCGGGGUAAAGUGGAGGACAAUCUUUUGGAAUUCUUCCCUUCCGCAAAGAGAACCGAAGAGAGUUUCUCUGAGCAUUUCACGUAAGUUUGAUCUGUUAUAGAAUUUUAUUAUGGACCAGCUUGUCAGAUAAGACUCAUUUUUUGUUUUUUUAAGAUAUAGCUGAUGCUUUUGAUGUCCUGUAGUAUCUUUAUACAAUUUGGAUGACUGAGAUUCUGAAGUAGCUGCAAUCCCUGAUUUGUUCAGCCAACUGCAAUGUUUUAGUUGCUAGAUUUUGUCUUAUAGUUGAUUCAUCUUUCUGUAUGAUCUCUGAAAUAUAUUUAAGAGUUUUUGUUUUUCUCUUAAGAUAUAAAAUUAGUUGAUUUUCGUGUAGUCAUUAUCAUCAGUCAAUUUUAAUAUGAAAUUUGAUUAUGCGUUGAAAGUAUUCUUACCUAGUAGUCCCUUUGGUUUGUCACUCCAUGAUAAUACAUCUUAACGUAAAUGUUGAUGUGAUUUUUAAUUGUCAAUUGCUCAUUGAUGGGUUUCAUGUGAAGUAUGUGUUAACUUGAACAUCCAUUUUGUGAUAUUCACACCUUGUAACAAAAUGAAAAAGGUUGUUUAACUGACACAUAAUUUGGUGCUUAUUUUUUUACCAAUUUUCAGAAAGGAAGGGCUAGUUGCCUUAGUUGAGUACAACGAGAAGAAAAAUUUUCGAAGUGAAGCUUAAGGAAAUGAAAUCUGCUUUAACAACCCAGAUAACAGAGGAAACCGAUAUGUCUGAAGUCAUUGAGACUGUGAAGCAGCGUGUUAAAGACGCCAAAUUGCCCGAUGUUGAAGUUGUGCGAAUUCUGUGGGAUGUCAUUAUGGACGCUGUGCAGUGGUCUGGUAAGAACCAGCAGCAGAAUGCUAAUGCAGCUCUUCGCCAGGUAUACGUUAGUCUUAUAAUCGCUUGAUACCUAGAUAAUUUCUGUGUUCUGUGACCUGGAAUUUCAAACAAGAAACCGUAGUUAGCCUAGCAGGGGAGGGAGAUUCUCCAGCUCUACCCCUUGUUAUAUAUAUAUAUAGAGAGUUAAAAAUAGAGUGGAAAUCCAAUGGGAAACUUUCGAGUUCAUCCUUCAGCUUUUAAAGUUCAGGUUUGGCACACUCGUAAAGGGACCAAUGUAGGAGUUUAAGUAGUUAACCAUGACGAGUUAAGUUGGUAUAACUUUAAAACAAAUAAAAACAGAACUAAGAUUUUUUUAAUCUUUUGUUCAUGUAGUUCAAAGAAAGAAAUCGGUUCUUAUGUUCAUGUAGGAUAGUGAAUGACUUUGUUCUACCUAGCUAGAGUAGUAUAGAUAUAGCAUUCCAAUCUGAUGUGUUUAGGAUUUCAACUUAUUGGUUUUGUUUCUUUCAUAUUCCCAAGCUUGUUCUUUGUAGAUCUAAGGCUGUGCUUGUUUUACGCACCAUCCUCCAAAUUGAUUACUUUGAGAUAUUAGAUCACUGUAGUUUUCAGAAAUCGGUUAUUUAGUUGCUAACACCAUAGUACUUGGUGCACAUAAAUAAAUGGCUAUGGUUUAACUUAUAUACAAUACAUAUGCAGGUGAAAACAUGGGCAGAACUGCUGAACACCUUUUGCACGAAUGGGAAGCUUGAGCUGGAACUGAUGUACAAGGUUCAGAUGCAGUGCUAUGAGGAUGCUAAGCUGAUGAAGCUUUUCCCUGAUAUUGUAAAGUCCCUCUAUGACGAGGAUGUGCUUGCAGAAGACACCAUUCUCCAUUGGUUCCGCAAGGGAACAAACCCCAAGGGCAGGUAUGCUUUUUGUUUCAACUUUAAAAUAUCAGAGUUCGAUAAUCAAUGCGUUUGUUUGUUGUUUACAUCGGGUUUAUUGUGUUAUUUGUAACUGUGAAAUAACGGAAAAUGAAUGUGUGCAGGCAAACUUUUGUGAAGGCCCUGGAGCCAUUGGUGAACUGGCUGGAGGAGGCAGAAGAGGAGGAAUAGAUGCAGCUGAAGCUGUUGUUUCUGUCUGUUCAUCUGACGGACCUGUACCGCCUGCCUCGAUUAUCCUAUCAAAUCUAUCUCUCCUCCGAGAGAAUCAAACUCAUAAAUAUUCUAUAAAACCUAAUUAAGCUUAGCCCCUUUGGUGUGCCUGUUGAAUGUUGAUGACGAUGACGAUGACGACGACGACGUCGUGAGGAUGCUGCAUUAUAAAUAAUUUGAUGCUUUUGCUUUUAUUUCGUUGCACGAUGCCAUAGUAGAUUUGAUUCGAUUUUGUUCAUCACAUUUUGAUAAUUAAAUGUGGUAUGAUGCUUUUGGUUUUAUUGCUCGCUCGCUGAUGCAGAUGAUUUUCGCGCACUUAUUUUUUUCGUCUGCAUAUGUACUUUUUCCUGUGUCUUGAUGGGAUUUGGAUUCUCUCCUGAGUUGAGUUCAGUCUAUUGAGCCUUCUUAGCAAUUCACAAGACCGUUGGAUUUUGAUUUAAUGGUUACAUAUGGAGGUUUUCUAAAAGUUAUAAUAAUUGUAGCUGUAGGAUCAAAAUCUAACGGUCUGUGUGAUUUGUUCAAGAGGCUCAGCAGGCUAAGCUCAGGAGAGGAUCCAAAUCUGUCUUGAUGUAUCCGGGAGAAAAGUGUGGAAAUCACAGAACAAAAAUCCGAUGUGAUCAGGCGAUGGAUGUAUAUUUAUGUACUUGCAGCAAAUUGCGAGUUAAAAGACAAACUCAAUGCCACUUACUACUACAGUUUAAUAGUAUUCCUAUUCAUUUAUAAGCGAGAUGUCUUAUAUUAGAUUCUUGCUAACAACGAAUUUGAAUCAACAGCUCAAACCACUAUUAAGAUAUUUCUAAAUGGGCCAAAUCGAAUUGCCUAUAAACCUAUCCAUCACAGCCCCAAUUAUUUUUCUUAAAAAGGAAAAUAAAUAUAAACAGGUCCAAUUUAAUUAUUUUACUUUUUAUCGCGGUAAAAUUAAGCUUCAUUUGGUUCGUUAUUAGUAUUACUUACUGCUGCGUACAGCAUGAGGGUGGAAUACUGAACGGUGAGUAUCGUCUAUGAUCUAUCUAUGCUUCCAAUGGCGGCGUUAUCUUUGCCACCAGUGAGAGUCUACUGCAGCGGCGGCGCCGCCACACCCAACAGCAGUAUUAGUAACAACAAUUUACUCGGCAACCACGCGCUCGAUGCCGCCCACAUCCGACGAGCCGCCGAGCUGGCCGACGGAUCCGCCGGAUUCACCUCUCCCCACCCAAACUUCGGGUGCGUCAUUGCCUCCAAAUCCGGGAAAGUCGCCGGCGAGGGAUUCCUCUACGCCCAGGGCACCAAGCCCGCCGAGGUCCUUGCCGUCGACGCAGCUGGCGAUUUCUCACGCCGCGCCACUGCUUAUCUCAACAUGGAGCCCGGUGAUUGCCACGGUGACCACUCUGCCGUCUCCGCCCUCGUUCAGGUUUUGCCUUUUUCUCUUCCUUUUCAAUUUCCAACUCCCUCUGAGUCGUCUUCUAAGGGAAAAGAAAACAAUGAUUGAAUGUUGAUUUGUUUGGAUUAGGCAGGGAUUGAAAGGGUGGUGAUUGGGCUGAGGCAUCCAUUGCAGCAUUUGAGAGGGAAUGCCAUUCGGGCUUUGAGAAGUCAAGGCUUGCAAGUUGAUGUUCUUGGUGAGGACCUCAACAGUAAACUCAUUGAGGUAUUUGAUCAAUUCAAUAUGCUCAUUUCAUACCUUAGCGAAACGCUUCUUUUCGAUUCCUUGGCGAAUAGUAUAGGCAUUACGCAGGGAUCUUCUGCUCCCAGUUGAAAUAACUACGGUGUGGUUUACCAAAACAAGACUAAAACUUUUGCGUGACAUGAGUAGCAUUUGAGUUUAACAUGUCAUAUAAUUGAUCCAACACCAACAGGAAGCACGAAAAUCAUGCCUCCUUGUCAAUGCUCCAUUAAUUUGUAGAGCUGCUUCUCGAGUCCCCUUCUCCGUUCUCAAGUAUGCCAUGACUCUUGAUGGUAAGCUUUCUUUUAGGAGUAGUGUAACUUAUUACAAUAUGCAAUUCUGUAAAGAGGCCUAAAAAUUUGAAUUUAAACAAGUCUUCUGAUAGAUUAGUCAUUAGUCUUUGUUGGGUGCUAACAGGAAAAAUUGCUGCUAGCAGCGGACAUGCAGCAUGGAUCAGCAGCAAAACGUCUAGAAAUCGAGUGUUUGAACUGCGGGGUAGAAGUGAUGCAGUCAUUGUAGGAGGAAAUACAGUGCGCAAGGACAGUAAGUAUAAUUUUCUCAACUUUGUGAUUAUUCGUGUUAAUAGGAGGAAGUUCUGACUUCUUAUGUUCUAUGUUAAUUUUUGGACCAGAUCCAAGACUAACUGCAAGACAUGGUGGUGGACAUAUGCCUAUGCGGAUUGUAAUGUCACAGACUCUUGAUCUCCCAGAGGAAGCACACCUUUGGGAUACCUCUGAUGUAUCUACUAUAGUUGCAACACAGAGGGGUGCAAGAAGGCAUUUCCAGAAACAUCUUGCAUCAAAAGGAAUUGAAGUGGUGGAGUUUGACAUCUUAAACCCCAGAGAAGUAAUGGAAUACUUCCAUGAUCGUGGAUAUCUUUCACUUUUGUGGGAGUGUGGGGGGACAUUAGCUGCAGCUGCUAUUUCAUCCGGAGUAAUACAUAAGGUUUGUUUCCUCCAGCUUGUAUUUCUUUCUAUGAACUCUUGUCGAUGUUCUCCUCUUGUCUGCUUAAAACUGAUGAGUUAGGGAUGUUGUCAUAGUUGUAGUUUCUUGUAGGCUGGAGGGGUACAUAAGCUUAACCGCCGCUUAUGUUGGAGAUCCCAGAUUUUUCCUUUGUUGAAACUGGAUUUGUUAACAGGCAUUUUGCUUCUGCCACAUUCAAUGCAUUGCAGGUGUUCGCAUUUGUUGCUCCUAAAAUUAUUGGUGGAAAGAAUGCGCCAUCCCCUGUGGGUGAACUCGGGAUGGUUGAAAUGACACAAGCCUUUGACCUAAUUGAUGUCUGCUAUGAACAGGUUGGUGUGGGUUUUUGAUACUUCUUCUAGAGAUAAAUUCUUUCUACUCAUAUCCCCACUCAGUAUUCUACCGUUUGAUUGGACUUUUUAUUUUGCACUUCUGAACUUGAACCAACAGGUUGGACCUGAUAUGCUUAUAAGUGGAUUUCUUCAACCCAUACCAGAUGUGACCCCUGUUAUUCCAUCAGUUGAUGAAACAUUUGAAAUUGAUCCAACCGUGACUCCAUAUGAAUCAAGGAUCAUAUUCUUUUACAAAACAUGGGACCCAUACGGCGCUUUCUCAAAUUUUUCGCCUCACCAAAUUAAGAUGCCAGAUGACAGUGGUGAUUAUGAACCUUGGUUGAGUGUCGAGCAUUACUAUCAGGUAUUUCCUUUUGUGUAUGAAUCUGGUUUCCAUCUUACAAAACGUAGUCAUUCUCACAGAACAAUACUAACGUGUAGGCUCAGAAGUUUGUUGGGGUGGAUGAUCCUGUGGCACAAGAUUGUGUUGAAAAUAUCAAGUCUGCCAGAAGUCCGGAAGAGGCAGCACGGAUAGGAAGGUCAAUGCAGAGGAAGCGUCCUGAUUUGGUAUGGUGCAUUGUGCAUUUGAUUGGAUUUUCAGUUCAUCAAUUGUGUUGACACGUGAUGUUAGUCAUGACAUGCCAUGCUGUGGUCCUUUAUGGUUCUUAGAAUUUCUCAAUCAGAAAAAAAAUAAAAAUGAAGACAUAAAAUCAUGAUAUUAAGUGAUUAACAUCUUUUUACAUGAACCUAAGAUUUCUGCAUCCAACGUUAAAUGCAUUAAUAAUAAUAAUAAUAAUAAUAAUAAUAAUAAAUAAUGAGAAGAAGCAGAAUGAACUCAUGCUAAACCGGGAUUAUUUAACAUCAUCGGAGUGUUGACAAUUACUUUUGGUUUAUGUUGAAUUUGGUUCAAACUUGUCUUGUGUGCUAUGCAGGUAAGAUGUGAGUGGGAAAGUGUAAAGAUUGAAGUGAUGUAUAGGGCACUAAAAUGCAAGUUCUCGAUAUACCCACAUUUGAAUGCAAUGUUGCUGUCAAGUGCUGGAUGUGUUCUUGUUGAAGCAUCACCGCAUGAUCUUUUCUGGGGAGGAGGUCGGGAUGGAGAAGGGCUAAAUUAUCUGGGCAGGCUUUUAAUGCAGUUGAGAUCAGAGUUUCUUGGUGAGUCUCCUACGUCCAGUUAGAGCAUGUAAUGCGUAGUAAUAUAAUUUGUAACAAAUGAUAUAUUUGUAUUGAUUUGAUUCUCUCCUGUAACUUUAUUGUUCAUUUUGCAAUAAAGUUGCAAUUAACAGAUGACAUAGAUAUUGUGUGUGCGUGUACUGAUUCUCUCUAGGUGAUGAAGGUUCUAUCAUCAUCACCCUUCCUAAUUCCUUCUCCAUUUGGUUUUUCAAUGUCUCAAAGAGUAAUUUCACUAUUUAAAGUUAUAAAUGAUAAUAUAUAAGAAUAAACUAGAUGAAUUAAGGGAGUUUUAACAAAACACUUCCGGUACUGUUCACUUUUAACGAAAAACUACAUUUUUACUUUUAACUGGCACUAUUCACUAUACUUUUAAAAAUGGUUUUUUCGUUAAAAGAGAAGUUUUUUUGGACUUUUCGUUAGUUUUCCUAAGAAUUAAAUGAGAAAAUGAAGAUGGAUCAAGAUAUUUUUAGAGACAUGGAUUGAUAAAGACGGAUUUGUUUUUAUUUUAUUUAUUAUUUUUGUUUAGGAUUUAGAUGUCAUUUUAUUGCAGGGAAAAUUUAUCACUAAAAUUUUCAUCAAAGAGUGGGUGGAGAAAUAGGAUUUGGGGGUGGGUUUAACAUCACUAUUUCUGUUUUGAAGAAUACUUAUCUUUUUAUGUACUUUCUUUUUUUCUUGGUUGAACCUUCAUUUUUUUAACAUAUACAUUCUUUUAAAUUAUUCUAUAUCUAUUGUUCAGUAGAUGAUAUUGUGUUACAAAACUGACUUUCAUACUAAGUUUUAUACUCAUAAAUUUAUAGAAGAAGAAAAAAAAUUUAAAUACCAAAAGAAGAGUCUUGUAGUGAAAGGGUCCCACUUUAAUUGUUGCGUGGGCUUCUGAAAUUUCAGAACCGUUCCUAAGUCUACUUAGUUAUAUAUGAUUAACAAAUGGUCUACAUUAUUUGUAUACGUAACCAUAUAAGACUGCUUAAUUAUCUCUUGUAACGCAAGUAACUUAUGAAUUAUUACAAUCACGUGGGUAGGUAGCUAGGAGCUACCUAAUGAAUUUUAAUGUCAAAUGAAAAAGACACGGUUCUGGAAUUAAUUAGUAUGGAGGCAGAUUCUCUGCCCUUUCAUUUUCCGUGUCUUUCUGUUUGUGUAUUCACGGUUAAAUCACAUAUAUUUAGGUGUUGAGUUUUAUCAAAAAAGACUUCAGUGAUAUUAGAAAUGGAUGCAUGAUAUAGGAUCUCAUUCUCAAACAUAUAUAUAUAUAUAUAUAUAUAUUAUAGUCAAUUAAUAUUACAGUCUGAUGUUAUUCCUUUUCACUUGUAAGUAAAAUGUCUUAUAUUCGAAUCUCAUGGAUGGUGAAUUCGAUACCAAAUUAGGUUGCUUAUUGUAUAACUUGACUGAUCCUCCUCUCAGUGUAAAAUAUAUCCUUGUACUCAAAACAAUAUAUAUAAUAAAAUGAAGGGAAGAUGAGAUACUCAUAAAUUCAUACAGAUAUCAUGGGUAUAUUAUACAGCCAACAGGGAUAGGCUCAGGGUAUCCUUAAUCAUGUACCCAUGCCCAUGCUCAAUAAAGAUGUACCCCCCGCCCUCACAUAUAGCUAGUGGAUAUAUUAGAUAUUUUGAUAUACUUUGUGGUUGUCUUUAUUAAUUUAAAUUAUUGGGUGGAUGGAGGAUCUAGAUGAAUUAUAUAGUUCAUAGAUCAACAAUUUUUUUUUUUUAGCCAUUGAAUUGAAUAAGUUAAACAGAAUUAAGAUCAUAUACUUUGUGUUGUCUUUAUCAAAUUAAAUUAUCGGAUAGAUAGAUGAUGUAAAUGGAUCAUAGUUCAUAGAUGAUGGGACCCCCCAAUUGAAAUUUAUUUUUAAGGAAGUGAUCUUCACACAUAUUUGUUAGUUUUUCACCUUUUUUUUCUUUCUGCCAUUGAAUUGGAUAAGUUAAACAAAAUGAAGGGUUAUGAUUAAAUAUGAGUGCGUAAAAGGCUAAAUUAUUUUAGAUAUUUUGAUAUAUUUUGUGAUGUCUUUAUCAAAUUAAAUUAUCGGAUACACAAAAGACGUAGAUUGGUCAUAGUUUCAUAGAUGAUUGGAUACACUAAUAUUCUCCCCUCCCCGAAAAAUGUUGAAAUUAUUUUUAAAGUGAUUUACACACACAUUUAUUAGUUUAUCACACACUUUUUUUUUCUUUAUAGCCAUUGAGUUAAAUAAGUUAAACAAAUGGCACGGUCAUGAUUAAACAUGAGUGUGUAAAAGACUAAUAAAGUUGAUAAAUUGGAUAUUUUGAUAUACUUUAUGUUGUCUUUAUUAAAAUAAAUUAUUGGAUGGAUAGAGGACGUAGAUGAAUCAUAGUUCAUAGAUGAUGGGGAUACACUAAUAUACUCCCUCCCCGUUGAAAUUUAUUUAUAAGGAAGUGAUUUUCACACACAUUUAUUACUUUUUCUCUCACCGUUUUUUUAUUUCUAGUCAUUGAAUUGAAUAAGUUAAACAAAUGCAACGGUCAGGAUUAAACAUAGUGCAUAUAUGAUUGGAUCCACUAAUAUCUCCCCCAACCCCCCAAAAAAAAGCUGAAAUUGUUUUUAAAGAAGUGAUUUACACAUACAUUUAUUAGUUUCUCACACUUUUUUUUUCUUUCUAACCAUUGAAUUGAAUAAGUUAAACAAAUGUAACGGACUAACGGUUAUGAUUAAAACAUGAGUUUGUAAAAGACUAAAAAAGUUGAUAAAUUGGAUAUUUUGAUAUACUUUGUGUUGUUUUUAUCAAAUUAAAUUAUCGGAUGGAUAGAGGAUGUAGAUGGAUCAUAGUUCAUAGAUGAUGGGGAUUCACUAAUAUAUUCCCUCCUCGUUGAAAUUUAAUUUUAAGAAAGUGAUUUUCACACACAUUUAUUAGUUAUUCACACACCAUUUUUUUCAUUUUAGUCAUUGAAUUGAAUAAGUUAAACAAAUUCAACGGUAAGGAUUAGAAAUAAGUGUUUAAAAGACUAAAAAUGUUGAUAAAUGAAUAUUUUGAUACACUUUGUGCUGUGUUUAUUAAAUUAAAGGACACUUUGUAUGCGGUCCCUAACUAUCAAUAUUCUUUAAUUGAAAUCUUGUUAGUUUUUAGUUUUUGAUUGAGGUCCCUGACAUUAAUGUAAUAAUGUAAGUUACUAUGUUUUUAAAUUAAAAAUUAAAAAUUGAAAUUUGUAAUUGUUUAUAUUAAUGAGAUUUUAAAUAAAACCCAUAAUUUAUGGCAUUAAAAAUAAUAAAAUAUAAAUUAUACUCUCUAUUAUAUUGUGUGUGUGUGUGUACAUAUAUGUAUGGGUACAUUAACCAAAAUUAACAAAAAAAUUAUUGUACCAAAACAUGGAUACAUUCUCAAAUCAACGAAAAAGAAUGUACCCAUAUAAGUUUAAACAUGGAUUAAAAAAUUUGAAUGGAUUUUAUAUUUAAAAAGGGUACAUUUUACAUAUAACAAAUUGAUAUAUUUGAGAAUGGGUACAUUUAAGAUUAAAAAAAUUGAAAAAUUAUAUGAAUGAGUACAUUUAAGAUUAAAAAAAAAUUGAGAAUCUUUUUAUAUAUAAAAAAAACUAAUAGGUACAAACUUAAUUUAAUUUAAUUUUUUAUUAUUUUGGAAAUGUUUGAAUUGAAAAUUAAUUAGAAGUUUAAUAGAGGUGUGAGUAUUAAACCCUAAAUUAAUUACUAAUUUUUAUAUUAAAAAUUAUAUAAUAAACAUGUAAAUUCAUUAUCACAUUAAUGAUAGGGACUUGAAUCAAAAUUUGAGAACUAAUAAGGUCUUAGUCAAUGAACAAUAAGAACUAGGGACCGGAUACUAAUUUUUCCUUAAAUUAAAUUAUUGGAUGGACAGAGGACAAAGAUGGACUAGUUGAUCCAUCAAAAGCACUCAUGAGAGCACAAUAACAGAAAGACUAGGCCCCCCCCUAACCCCCCCCCCCCAAAAAAAAAAAAAAAAAAAAUCUUGCACGACAGUCAUCAUACUAUGUUAAAAAACUAGGACUUGGAUUGUCUGCCCUCCUCAUCCCAUGUCCUUUUCAUCUCCUUCUAUUUUUGUGAUCACAGUUAAGUCACGUUAACAUUUUAUAUUUCUAUUGCUUUUUGCCUUAUUAUUUCUAUAAAAAAUCAAAAUAAAAUGUUGACGUGACUUAAUUGUGACCACAUAAAUAAAAGGGUAGGAAAGGGGGUGAGACGGGGGAGGGCAUACAAUCAAGGUCCAAAACACUAUUGUCGAUAUAAUGAAAUGAUAUGACUUGAUACGAAAGAUCUUUAUGUCUUUCACGACUCUUUCUAUGCCAAGUGAAAUUCUAAGAAAGUGAUUUAUAAACAUAUUUCUUAAUUUCUCACACAUCUUUUUUUUUAGCCAGUAAAUUAGAUAAGUUAAGAUAAUCAACAAUGAUAAUUAAAUAAAAGAGUAUAAAAUGCUAAAAAAAAUGUGUAUUUGCCAUUUCUCUAUUUUUAUUUCGUUGUUAGUCACUAGUCGUAUUUUCCAUUUUAUUCAUGUUAUGAUUCACGUGUCAAUGAACGUCAAAGUCUGAAAACACCAAACAAAUAAAAGUUGAUGUGAACUCUGGGACCAUUUCCACAAUCCUAUAUAUUAUGACUUUUUUCAAGUUCUGAUUUGAUUGAUCUAUACAGUGUUGAAUAAAAUACUCGAAAUUUAAUAUAUAUAUAUAUAUAUUGUUGUAACGUUUUUAAAAUUUUAAAUAUCACAAAACUAUAUAUUUCAUUGAUGACUUUUAAAUGCCUGGUAAUGCACAAUUAAGCCUUAAAAUUUUAAUGCUAAAUGGUUUCGUUGAAAUAUUUAUUUUGAGCUUAUACAUUCCGCUUCGAAUAUAAUAUUUUGUAUUUACAUCUAUUGAGUAAGAAAAUUCUAAAUAAAAAUUUAGUUACAAUACUUAAUGUAUUUUAAUACAAUUAUUAUCUUUCAUGUGAAUUGUAGCCAAUCUCUCUAAAUACGAUUUGGCUAUUGUGACAUUUCACAUCGUCCAUGAGAGUGAUCCUUAAAUGUAUAUUUACAUCCCUACCUAGCACAAGGUCUUUUGGGAGCUCACUGGCUUCGGGUUCCGUAGGAACUCCGAAGUUAAGCAAGAAGGAGGCCAUAGCACUUCCAGGAUGGGUGACCCACUGAGAAGUUGCUCGUGAAUUCCCAAAAACAAAACUAUGAGGGAAUGAUAAGCCCAAAGCGGACAAUAUCGUGCUACAAUGGUGGAACAGGCCAGGGAUGUGGUGGACCCGGGCCGGAUGUGACAAAUGGUAUCAGAGCCAAUCCUUGGCCGGAAGUGUGUUGACGAGGACGUCGAGCCCUUAAGGGGGGGUGGAUUGUGACAUCCCACAUCGCCCAGGGGAGUGAUCCUUAAAUAUACAUUCACAUCCCUACCUGCACGAGGCAUUUUGGGAACUCACUGGCUUCGGGUUCCGUAGGAACUCCAAAGUUAAGCGAGAAGGAGGCCAGAACACUCUAGGUAGAGAUGUGAAUAUACAUUUAAGGAUCACUCCCCUGAGUGAUGUGGGAUGUCACAGCUAUAAUAUUUAUAUUUGUUUAAUAUAGUCAUCAUCUUGAUUGUCAAUAAAAGUUCAUGUAAAUACAAAUUUCAAACUCGGCAAUAGUUCAAAUAUGCUUUACACUGUCCUUCAUAAUUAGUUGUUUUAAUAAAAUGUCUUUUUUUUCAAAAAAAAAUGAAGAUAAAAUAAAAUAAAAACUCAGUAAUUGUUCAAAUAUGAAACUAAUUAAGCUAGCUAAACUUUGAGUCUAUUGCUGUUAGUUGAAGAAAUCAUUGCAAUUAACGGGAUUAUCAUGUAUAAACAAUUUUGUUUGUACCAUACUUGACCAAUCCCAAAACUACUGAGCACCGGUCAACGUUAUGCUGUCAACGACCUAGAAGAGUUUCCCUCCAACUAGGACGCCAAUCACAGCGCGACACGUGUCGAUAUCAGAAGCCAAUCAUAGCGAGAGCCAAUCACAACACAACACGUGUCAAUGUCAGAAUGAAACUAGAAACUUUCUUCUAUAAAUAUAGAUCAUUCUCUCACGAUAUUUCCGAAAGUCAUUUGUACUAAAUCAUUCACUUGUACUCACUAAAUGAGAGCUUGAACCUAUGUACUUGUGUAAACCCUUCACAAUUAAUGAGAACUCCUCUACUCCGUGGACGUAGCCAAUCUGGGUGAACCACGUACAUCUUGUGUUUGCUUCCCUUUCUCUAUCCAUUUACAUACUUAUCCAUACUAGUGACUAGAGCAAUCUAGCAAAGAUCACAAACUUAACACUUUCUAUUGUAAUAAAGUCCUCACCGAUUUGUGCAUCAACAAAUUAAAAAAAGUAAACUAAAAGUAGAUUACCAAAAACGAAGUUGUGAUGAAUAAAGUUGAAGUGAUAUGCAUAUACACAUAGGGAAAUGAAAAUAACACACCACUUUUCAUUCCCACACACUUUUGUUUACUUUUCUUUGUUUUCUCUUAAUUUAUUAAAUCAGAUAAUAAAAAAAUAAAGAUAAUGCUAAGGAAAUCAAAUUUAGAUAAAAUUUACAAACCAAAUGAUGUGUUAUAAAUAGAAAAUAAGCACGUUAAUCAAUAUUUAAAUAAUAAUUCGAUCAUCAACAUCCACAUCAUUUGAUUAAUAUAAUUUGGUUUAGAAAUUUGAUCUCCCUAGCAUUAACCAAAGAUUAAUGCAUGUGCGGUUAUCAUUAAGCUAAUUAAGGUAAUGCUAGAGAGACAAAUUUUUAAACUAAAUUUCGAGAACUAAAUGAUGUGGAUGUUGAUGAUUGAUUAACAUACUUAUUUUCUAUUGGUGACACAUUAUUAUUUGAUUUGUUAAUUUGAUUUUAAAUUUUGGUUUUCCUAACAUUAUCCUUAAACUAAACCUAGCUACAAAUUGUGGAGGUGGCAGCUAGCAAGCCUAUCAUUUAAUAUUGGGAACUUUAACGAAAAGCACCCGGUACUGUUCACUUUAACGAAAAACCACAUUUUUACACUAAAAAGUCAAUCCUGUUACUAUUCACUUUACCCUUUAUUUUGUCUUUAUCAUUAAAACUCAAAGUUUUCAAACCCUUUUCAUUAGUUUUCCUUUUAAUAUUUAUAUAACAUAACAAUAUUCGAUUUUUAUGAGGGGAGGGAGCGAGGGAUCGAGAAGCAUAUAUUGUAUGCGUACGUAGAUCGAUCCCAUAAUCUCCACGUUCAUGUUGGAAACUUGGAAGGAAUGCAUAUAUAUAUAUGUGUAUGUAUGUAUAUGUUGAUAAUUUGUAUGUAAUCUUGCAGAGAAAGCUAAACAACGAAAUUCAAGUAAUUUGUAUGUAAUCUUGCAGAGAAAAGCUAAACAACGAAAUUCAAGAGAGAGAAAGCUAGAGAGAGAGAGAGAGAGAGAGGAAAAUUUUGUUUCGACUGAAUUUCAUUCAAUAUAAUAAUUACAACAGAAUGUCCGAAUUGGUCGAGCGGUUGUAAAAGUUUGUAUGCACAUGUGUGUGUGUAUUUAUAUAUAUUUGACGAGUAGAAUUACACAUGGUACUGUGCCUGUGUGCCAUGCAUAUUGCAUUCCAUGUCUGUACAAAAUAGGGAAUUAUUAGAAGGCAGUGAGGAAGUAGGAUUAUUUUCCCCCUAUUCUUAUUUUCUUUCCUCUUUCUCUAUAUUAUUUUAUAUUUUAUUAUCUUUAUAAAAAAUUAAUAUAAAAUGUUCUUAUUUUCUUUCCUCUUUCUCUAUAUUAUUUUAUAUUUUAUUAUCUUUAUAAAAAAUUAAUAUAAAAUGUUGAUAUGACUAAACUGAAAUCGUUCAAAGUAAAAAAAAAAAAAAGGAAAAAAAGAUUAGAUGGGAGGUCCGUAGCUGAGCUGCUUGCUGAGGGAGAAGUGAGAGUCAGAGUGGCCCACGUAGAAAUGACGAGGAUGUUCACAUUUCUAAGUAGAUUCCUAACAUGCAUGCUCUUCAUAUUAUUUGUUUUCUGUCUGAAAUACAUAUAUUUAUGUAAACAUAUGCCUCCACACACACAUUGAAACUCUCAAAUCCAAUCCAUUUUUAAUCCUCUCAAAAUCCUUUUGUAUCUACUUAAUAUUAGUCUGUGUCUAUAUAUAUAGCCAAUUUUGGAUUGGACAUCACUCAAAAGCAUCUUUGUAUAUAUAAUGAUUUGGACAUCACUUAACUUGCACGAACAUAUAUUAUAUAUAUAGGGGUAUGAUAUCCACAAAACCCAAUUUACUUCUCACACACCUUUCUAAUUUUCGACCGUCGGAUCGGAUGAAUUGAAGAAGAUCAACGGAUAGAAAUUAACAAAGGUGUGUGAGAAGUAAUUUGGGGGGUAUGGAUAACACACCUCUGUAUAUAAUGAGUGUGUAACGUGGGAGGGAAAACCACAUUAUUGUCCUAGAAAUCAGGGUUUCUUGAUCCUUAUUAUGUAUGAUCUGUACACAAAGCUGUCGAGAUUAUAGGUAAAAUGUAAUAACCCGCAUGCAUUAAGCGAGGUAUUAAACUAAAAACUUGUGGAAUAUUACGCCCAAAAACUCCUUCCAAUGAGUUGAGUUGAGUUGGGUCAAUCAACUGCACAAAUCCAGUUUUCUUAUUCAAACAAUAUGUCUGAAUCCUGAUGAUAAAUGUAUGUCUCAUGUCUGUAUAUUAAUUCUAUAUACCAGACAAGACAUCUAAAAAUCUGCAAUAAACUAACUGUGUAAUGUGUGUGGAAAUACAUUGUUUUAGGCCAUUUUCUACCAAUAACAAUUUUACCAUACAAAUCAUCUCAAAAAUUACAACUCUAUGAUUUCUUUUUAUCAAAUUGUUAAUUUUUUUUCAUCUUUAUCAUAUCUUACAUUUAAUUUUGAGCAAAAUGAAUAUCAUGGAUGAAAACGAGUAAAAUGAGAAUUGCAAAUUCAAAGAGGAGCGACUAAGUAUCAUGCAAUAAAUUAAUUAUGUGGCGGUACGACUGCCACAUUAAAUUUUAUUGAUGGCUAAAUCAAAUUGUUCACUUUCUACAGAUUUUUGUUCUUUAAUUUCUGGUUCUUCAAAUUUAGUUUAGUAGUUGUUUGUUGCAUUCGCUCUGUUUUUCGGUUUCUCUCUCGGGAAGUCAGGGCGUAUUGUAAGAGCGGGUAUUUUUGCAAUCUUUUAUAAUUCAGUUGCUGUUGGUGGUUGCGAUUAUUUCUCACUUCGAAAGACUCUCUCUUUUCCUUUCUCCUUCUAUCUCUCCUUGAUGUUUUUCUCUCUCUAAAAUUGGCUCUGUAUCCACUUCCUCCCUUCUGAUAACGUUCACGAAGAUGCUUGCUUUAUGCAGAGCCGUGACUUGAGCUGCCUGCUCUGCCCAUUCUCUCUCUGCAGCUCUGCUGUGAUUUUGGCAUUUUCUUCUUUUGGAUUCGUAGAAUUCGAGCUUGAUCUGGGAAAGGAAGGACAACCCAUUGGGGUCGUGCAAUUGGAGAGCUUUCUAGCCGGAUUCGGGGACAAUGAUUCGUGGUGAAAAAGUUGGUAUUCUGAAUUGGAUCUUCUUACAUAGAUCUGCUUUCCUGAUCUGAAAAGGGAAGAGAGAAAUAGAGAGGGGGUUAUUGAAAGAGAAAAGUGUUUUCCUUUCCUGGAAAAGGGAAAAAUUCAAGUGCUUGCUGGGGAAUUCUGUAGCAAUUUGGUCGCAGAUUGUAAUUAAGGUGGAUUAAUCUGAUCAAAAGUGAGUGAAUUUAGUGGAUUGAUUUGGAUGGUUAAUCAAAGGCCGUGAAAUUGAAGGGCGUUGGGGGUUAUUUGCGACAGUUUGCGACGACGGAUCCGUCAAUAAAAAAGAGUGCGGGGUUGUAUUGCUCAUCAGCUGGUCUGGAGUGCCUACUAAACAUUAUCAGGGCCCUGAGAAUGGGUUCCUGCUUGUCUGUAGAAAGCAGGAGCCCUCUGCCCAAUUCGCCGUCGUCUCCCUCCUAUGAAGUCCGGCGGCGGAAGAGCUCUAAGAAGAGAGUGGGGUCGAGAAAUUCGUCCUUCGAUUACCGCCGGGAAGAACAGCUGCACAGAAUUCCCGGGAGAAUGUUUCUCAAUGGGUCCAGUGAAGCUGCAUCUUUGUUUACCCAGCAGGGCAAGAAAGGAACCAAUCAGGAUGCCAUGAUUGUUUGGGAGGUAAAAUGUAUUCUUUUUUCUUUUUCUGCAGCCUUAUUGAUAUAUUUACGGAUUCAUCAAUUUUAAAUCUGCAUGAAAAAUCCAAGUGUGCAAAUUUUUAUUUUUUGUAUUAUGAUCAAUUCAGCUGAAAGAAAUUGUACUUCCUGUAGUUCUACUUCAAGAAAGGAAAAACCAUUUUCUAUUAGUUGGCUGCGGUUUUUCCACCCUUUUUGCCCAAGGAAAUUAUCCAGACUAGCAAAACUUACUUCUGUGUUGGCAGUUGAAUUCUUUGUUUAAUCAUUUUCCUCAGCUAUUACAAGUCGUUUGCAGAGCAAAUUGGCUCACCUUCAUUGUCAAUGUGUUUAUUACUUUACGUGGACGGAUUCUGGCAUGCAUUAACCUUCGCUUCAGAUAGUUUGAUCCUUGUUUUCUUGUAUCCGUGUUUUUAAACUUAUAUAUUUUGUAUCACUGUUUGAUCCUUGUUCUCUGAAUGUUACGUUUUGAGAUUUUGCUGUGAUAUAUGUAUCUUAAGAGGAAACAUAUCCAGGGGUGAACAAUGUUAUUAUUGUCUAAAUCUUUUAAAUAUGAAUUUCAGAAUUUCUGUUCGAGAACAGACACAGUUUUCUGUGGUGUUUUCGAUGGGCACGGUCCAUUUGGUCAUAUGGUUGCUAAAAGAGUGAGGGACUCUCUUCCUCUGAAAUUGAGUGCAAACUGGGAAGUGAAAAUUACCAAUGAUGAAGUUCUCAAAGGGAUCAGCCUCAACACUGCAGGAAGCUUGAAUUCAGAUGAUACUGCUUUUGUAUCUGUUGAUGAAGAUCUCAGGCCCUCCGUGGAUGUUGACGAAACAGAAAAAAACCCUGAGAUCCUUCAGGCACUGAGAGAGUCAUUUCUGAAGGCUUUCAAAGUUAUGGACAGGGAGCUGCGAACAACACCAAGUAUCGAUUGCUUUUGUAGUGGGACAACAGCGGUAACUUUGAUUAAACAGGUGCUUUCAUAUCCUUUGCAAACUUGUUCUAAUUUUUUUUUUUUUGGGUGAUAUGCUCAUCUUGAUCAUGCAUGUAUUGGCGUGUUUCUUAGGGUCGGGAUUUAUUCAUUGGAAAUGUUGGGGACUCCAGAGCCGUUCUGUGCACGAGAGAUAGAGAUGACACUCUAAGUGCAAUUCAGUUGACUGUGGAUCUCAAACCAAGUCUUCCAGGUAUCACUCUUUCUCUCUUCUUCGCUUCUCCUUUCUCCUUUCUUGUAAUAGUUUUCAGUUUGCUAGUUUUCAAAUUUGGUUUAUGAUUUUGGCAGGACCUGAUCUGGUCAAAUUUCUAAUGAUGCUCGAUACAUGAAAAAAAUAUAUUUCAUAUCUGAACAUCUUCUUAACAACACAACAAAGAGUUUUGGGAACUUCAAUCACACCCCGACAUGAAUAUUUUUUAAACUAUAAUUCUACGCCAAAAUAAACACUCGUUAUUUUGUUUUGUCAUGCUUCGUUAGUUUCUGGAUUUAUAUAUGAAACUUGGGACCAGAAUUAAAGAAAUAAUUUCUCAUAAAUGAUAGAAAGUGAAUUUUCCUGGUACAUUGGAUAAUGGCUUUCAUCUACCUGCAAUAGUAAACAGGGAAUGCUCUGUGGUCAACUGUGGUCUGCUUGCUAGCUUCUUGUGAUUAAAUUGUUUCUUAGUUCUUACCUGCUUUUUCCCUAAUUCUUCCUCACUAACAGCGGAAGCAGAGAGAAUACGGAAGUGUAGAGGGCGCGUUUUUGCUCUUCAGGAUGAACCUGAGGUUGCUCGAGUCUGGCUGCCAAACAAUGACUCUCCUGGUCUUGCCAUGGCACGUGCUUUUGGAGAUUUCUGCCUCAAGGAUUUCGGCCUCAUCUCUGUGCCAGAUGUAUCCUAUCGGCGUCUCACAGAGAAGGAUGAAUUUAUAGUCCUGGCGACAGAUGGGGUACGUAGCCAGCUAAUUUUAAGCUAUUUUCUAAAGAGACCCUUCCCCCCUCCUAUUCUUCCUUGUGCUCUUCGAAUCUAAGAUUAAAACUUUUUUGGCAGAUUUGGGAUGUUCUCUCUAACAAAGAAGUGGUAGAUGUUAUAGCAACAGCCCCUGCACGUCCUUCUGCAGCUCAAGCACUGGUAGAGACAGCAGUUAGAGCGUGGAGACAGAAGUACCCAACUUCCAAAGUAGAUGACUGUGCUGUAGUUUGUCUCUUCCUUGACUUAGACUCAAACAUAGUAUCAACUGCUGCUAAUAACGGGUCAAAUGAGAAGGAGCAGCCUACUACAGCAGAUGAGGUAAAUGCUGAAGAUCUCUCGGAGACAGCUUCUUUGGUCCGCUCGGGGACUGUCCGAACUGCCGAAGAGAUCCUUGCAGAUGAGGAAGAAGACGAAGAGGACGAAGAAGAUGAUGAAGAAGAAGGAGGAAGAAAGGAGAAUGCUGCAGAGGAAAUGAAUUCGGAACCAGGUGUAGAGUGGUCAGCCUUGGAAGGAGUUUCUCGGGUGAACACAUUAUUGAAUCUGCCCAGGUUUACGCCCACAAAAGAAGACAAGAAGGUGUGGAAGAAGGUUUGAAUUCCCCUGUUUCUUUCUCAUAUCAUAUAUUGAUAUCAUAAUUGUUUUGUAUUAUUUAUUCUUUUGCUUUGUCUAUGGUAUUCUACAACACAUAUGUAGGGUGAAAUGAAAGUUAAAAUUUUGACUGGAGAGGUGGUGUGAGGGAUCCUCCCGACUAUAUUAGCAAUGUCUGGGGAGAUUGGAAUAUUUUUUUGUGUAAAAAUCCAACUCUCCGACUCUUUUUUCUUUCUUUGUUUUGAAGAAAUUCAUGAACUUCGACACGUGGAUAAUAAUUUUGUGAGAAUGAAUGAAUGAAGUUUCAUCUUAGUUUUCAACUUGAAUUGUCUUGUUUUUGUAUUUGAAGAAGUGCCUGUCAUGUUCAGAUGUGGAGUAAUAUGUACAUAUUUGCAAUUGUAAUGUUGCCCCAGUUGCAACUUGCAAACAAGAUAUUUAUAAGCUACUUGAUUAGCUUUUCUUGUUAGUAGAAAGUUGUGUGUUCACUGUGUUGUCGGUUAGUUUUGAGUUUUGAAUUUGCAUUUAAUUUGGUAAUUGUUUGGUGGAGAUAAAUGUAGUGUGCAUAUAUACUCCCGAGAUUUUUCUAGUAUGUUCUGGAGUAUUCCAUACACUGAGGUUUUCAGCCGUUAGAGUCUUAGUCGAAGAUUCAAUGAUCAAAUAUCUAACGGUAAAAAAUCCUAGUGUACAAGAGAUUCUGGAUCAAACUUUGUUCAUAUACUCCCUCCCUUGUGGUAGUUCACUAGUCGGCAACUUGGCACCAUCCAAGUUGCCCUAAAGUUAAGUUGGUGGGCUGUUGAUGUUAUUCAUUGAUUCCUUUUGACUUUAGGGGCCAACGGCAAAGCUUUGUAUUUUCAGAAUAUCUUUGUCAUAAUCUAAACCCUGAAUAGUAGCAUUCAUUCAUCAGGACCAUCACUGAACUGACCUUAAGCAACCAAAUUAAGCACAACACAAAUUGAAUUUUCCAGAAAGAUACUACAUAUAUAUAUAUAUUAUGGUGAGGAUUGAUUGGAAUCUGUUUAUACAACGACAACGUCGGUACUUGACUUGAGAGAGAUAUUAUGAUGGAGGGUUGUUUUCAAUGGUUUAAUUAAUGUUGAGGAAUUAAAUUUGAUUUGCAAAAGAAGAUUAUGUCCGUCUCACUCACAAAUAAUGAAACUAAUAACCAGAAGAUAUUUCCUAGAUUUUAUCGUGGAAAACAUCAUAUGUGCAUUAAUUGGCUUGAGGUUAAAAGGAAGGGAGGGCAAGACUAGCGUGUUUUCCAGUUGUUAUGGGACCUCUUUUUGGUUUCUGUUUCUUUUUUGUUUUCCUGCAUUGAUCCAAAAAAGAAGAGAGAAUAUGAAAUUCUUGGUUGAAACUCAAUGAAGAUUAUAAGUUGAAACUCAAUGUAGUACUCUUUCAACAAAUGGAAAUAUAGAGAACGAAAGGAAAAUGUGAUGAAAAGUGAAAAGUGAACAUUGAAAAAUGAAAAUGAAAUGGUAGCUGCUUGAGCUUGGUCGAUGUCGUCGUAUUAUUGUCAGUCAAAUGCGUUUUCCGCCCACAAAGCGUUGGAAGAAGUCGAGUGCCUCCCGCGGCUUGUACUCUGGGACGGUGUGUCCAGCUCCCUGCAUAUGUUUACAGAUUUAUCGUUAAUUUUGAAGGAAAGAAACAUCUAUAUAUAGCAAUAUUAAUGUAUACAGUAGAGGGACUAGAGACCUUGAUGGUGAGAAAGGUGAGGCUGUUGGCAUAUCCUUGUAAGUAGCCGGCAACUUGGUUGUCAGAGGAGAACCAAGGUCUCCAUUCAUCUACAAUCUCAUAUCCAAGUGAUGCAGUCCAUGCCUCGCUCCCAGUGUACGGAACACACAUAUCAUGGUCUCCACUGCAACAUUAAUUGUUUUAUUAAUUAGCUUAAUCCAUAUACAUUUCACUUUAACUUGAUUAAUUAGGACUUGAUCAAUCUGUUAAUAUAUUAUUAAAUACCUGUAAAUAAGGGCUCUGUAACCUUGGGUUGUAAGGUUUUGGUGGUAAGGGAUCAUGCUUCCAGCAUCGCGUGAAUAACUUAUUCUAUCUGUGCAUAACUCCCAUGGACCAGCCACACUUUCCUGUCAUACGUCAUUCACUCAUUCAUUCAUUCAUUCAUUCUUUCUUUCUUUUAAUUAGAUCAUUAAGCAGAAAAAGAAAAAUCAAGCAAGCUUACUGGUUGUGCAUGAAUUGCUUCCCUAACUUUUGGAGUGUUCAGCCAUAGCGUUGCAACUUCAUCAUUCUGAAGAGAAAUUAUUUAAUAUCCAAAUUAAUUACUGAAAAAUUAAUCUAAUCUAAUCUAAUUAAAAUUGAGUUUUAAGAGUAACCUACGAUACAAGGAACACCAGAAUCCAGUGUCUUUGCGAGCUGAGGCCAUGAUGGGACAAUGCCGUCUUCUACGUUUGCUCGAAAAGGCCAAGCUCGGCCAAACAUCCUUUUCCUCACUCCCAGAGGCUUCUCUGUCGUCUUCCCCAAUUGCUGAAAGCUUAACGGUAAGCUGCUUGUUUUAUUUUCUUUGGAAUUUUUGUUAUUAUCAGCUCCGGGGCCAUGGUAACAAGGUUCAAGGAUGUCGUAGAGGUUUAGUUCGUCAAGAGCCUAAUUAAUCAAAUAGUUGUGUCCAGAUUACAGUUAACAAUGUGACAAGUUCGAAUCUAAUUAAAUUGAAUAAAAGAGCUAGAAUUGCACCCUGUCAAGUGGUUGAAAUUUUUCUUGGCAUAGACUACGAUUGGAAGGAGGAACAUUAAGGAGGUCAGUACCACAUGUGGCAACAACUUCCUGCAACAUAGAGGCAUCUCAGAUAUUUGCCUCACACAAACUUCUGACAGUGGAAAUUCAGCAAGGAAAACCGAAAACGAAGACAUAAUGUGUGUGAGUUAACUAAUUGAUCAGUACUCUAGCCAGCUAGCUACCUGAAAGAUUUUUUCUGAAAUGAGAGCCAUCCCAUGAGCAAAUGGGACUAAAGCAUUGGCAUCGAAUCUUCGGUCUGUGACUCCAUUCCCCACCAGGUAACCCUGAUUACACACAUUACAAGUUUAACUACAAUUAACGCGAUGAAACGAAUCAGUUUAUGUAGCUUAAUUUUCUCAAGUCGACUUGACAGAAUACGCACCUUGAGAUUUAGAGUUGGUUUUGUUCCUUUGUUUAUACCUAUACAUAUAUAUAUGGAGAAAAUACAGUACAUAGUUACACACCAGAAAUUAAAUCCAACAAAUACAUUAUACACAUAUGCAAUUCGAGUAAUGUUGUAUUUAUAUAAAUACAUAUAAAUUAAUUAGCUACCUUUUGCAAUUUGAGAAGCAAGAGUUGGUACGUAGACUCCAGCAUAAGACUCUCCCGAAAUAUAAAACGGAUUUGGUUGAAACUCUGGGAAUUGCUGAAACCACUGUGAUUGCAUAAACAAUACAGAAUUCUUAGCAACAAAAUAGAAGAAACAAACGAAAAAGAAAAGGGAGAUUUUGGAUGCGGUCCUUAGUUAUGAAUAUUCUUUGAUUGAAACCUUAUUGGUUUUUAAUUUUUGAUCGAGAUCCCUGAAAUUAAUAUGAUAAUUUAUUUCUAUGUACGUUACUAUAUUUUUUAAAUUAAAAAUUAGAAAUUUUAGUUGUUUAUAUAAAUGAGAUUUUAAAUAAAAAAACCAUAAUUUGGGGGAUUAAAAAUAUUAAAAUAUAAAUAUACUAUUGUGUGUGUGUGUGUGUGUGUGUAAACAUGGGUACAUUCAUCAAGAUUAACCAAAAAAUUUAUUGUAUCAAAAAAUGGGUACAUUCUUCAAAAUCACAAAAAAAAAAGAAGAUAUUAAGCUUAAUAACAUUAGUAAAUUUCUUCGAUUAAACUUGACAUUGAUACAUUUUAAAAUCAAAGAAAAAAGAAUGUACCCAUAUAAGUUUAAAAAUAGAUUAGAAAAAAAUUGAAUAGAUUUUAUAUAAAAAAAUGGUACAUUUUACAUAUAACAAAUUGGUAUAUUUAAGAAUGAGUACAUUUUAAGAUUAAAAAGUUUUACAUGAAUGGGUACAUAUAAUUAGCAGGGGUACAUUUAGCAAAAUAAAAAGUACAAAUAAAAAAAAUAUGGGUACAAAUACAAAUAAACUUUAAAAAAUAUGGGCACAAAAAGAAAUUAAUAUAUGAGUACAAAUUAAAACUGAAAAGAAAAUUGGUACAAAUUAAAAAUGUCACAUCCCGGCCCGGGAUCCACCACAUCUCAGGCCCGCUCCACCACCAUAGCACGAUAUUGUCCGCUUUGGGCCCCGACUAUGCCCCUCAUGGUUUUGUUUCUAGGAACUUAGACGAGAACUUCCUGGUGGGUCACCCAUCAUGGGAUUGCUCUUGUGCGCUACUCGUUUAACUUCGGAGUUCCUACGGAACUCGAGCCAGUAAGCUCCCAAAAAGUCUCGUGCUAGAUAUGGAUGAAAAUACACAUUUAAGGAUCACUCACAUGAGCGAUUUGGGAUGUAACAAUAUGUUUAUUUAUGAAUAUUUUCUCCUAAUCAUUACUCUUGUAAUCAAUAACUGACUUUCGUCACCCUCAGGUGUCGGCCAGCACGUGCCUAUCCGUGUAUUCAGAGAAUAUCAGGAUCGAGACGUGUCAUAUUGGUAUCAGCAGCGAAAGCGUGGUCGGGGCCCAAAACGGACAAUAUCGUGCUACAGUGGUGGAGCGGGCCCGGGAAGUGGUUUGCCCCCGGGCGGGGAUGUGACAAAUGGUAUAAGAGCCAAUCCCUAGCUGAAAGUGUGCCGACGAGGACGACGGGCCCCUAAGGGGGGUGGAUUGUUACAUCCCACAUCGCCCAUGGAAGUGAUCCUUAAAUGUAUAUUCUCAUCCAUGGGCGAUGUGGGAUGUAACAAUCCUUAAAAUACAGUAACAUUUUAAACAUUAAAUGAAUAUAUUUAGAAAUAAAAAAUUAUUUUAUUAUUGAAAUAAUUAAUGAUAUUAUUAAUAUCCAAGAACUUUGAUAAAAAAUUGAAAAAAAAAAAUAUUUUAAUCAAUGGAGUAGUAAAACAAAGGAUGAGAACCUAAUUUAUCCAAAAGAAAAUGUAUAGCAUCACAGGACAACAUUUUUAAUCCCCUUUAUAAUCAAUAAGCAUAUGAUGAUCUGUAAUAUGAUAUUGAGGAGUAUAUUAAUUAAUUAGAAAAAAACAGAUUAAUUACCCGGAGGAGAAAGGCAUGGGUAUCAAGAGCAGUCUGGAUAUCCCCAGUGGUAUAUUUGGUUUGGUUUCGAGAGUAAGAAAAAUCCAACACCAGCAGGAGAAUCCAAAUAAAAUUAUGUUGGAAACCUGAUAAUUAAUUAAUUAAUUGGUUAUUAAAUUAUGCCCAAUACUAAAAAAUAAAGAUGAUAAAAAUUAGUAAGGGGAAAACAUGGUAGGCUUUCUAUAUAAAUAAUGUUUAAUUAGAUCUACCUUGGACCAGCUAUAAGGAUUAAGAUGCAAAACAGGCAAUGCUCCUUUAGGUUUUCCUUCUGCAAAAUUGAAUGGUCCUACAUAUAUACAUAAUACAUAAUUAAUCAAGUAAAUUAACCUAAAAAUAUGAUCUCAUUUUCAAAGUUAAUGAUGUCACAUCAAUUUUUGGCCAAGGAAUGAUAAGAUUUUGUCACAUGUUGCAUAUUCUAGAUGAUGGUGUCAAGGAGUUUCAUAUGAUUAACAUCUAGUAGUGGCUUUUUAUUUUUUGUGGUUAUAUUCAAAAUAAAUUAGCAGACAACAAGAAAAGACAACAAUUCAAUUAUGUGUGGUGCCAAUCUGCGUACAGCUGAAAUGGACAACACACUUACACGUGUUUAGAGUUAUCUGUGAUUGUGUUUCCAACACAUAUUAAUAUGCCUUACUCCGGCCCAGCAACAAAGAUUGAAAGCGCCGAUCUUCCCGUGCCAAACUCAGGAGUCAGAGGUAAACAAAAUUUUUUUCAAAUUUUGUAUGGUUUACGAGAAAAUUUUAUGGUUUUCCCCUUUAACUCUAAAUACCCAAUUUUUUGAGGUAAAAAAGGAAGAAAAUUGCCUAGUAAUCGUCGGGAUCUUGCCCAAUAGCAAUCGUCAGGGACCUGUUAGAUAAGCUUUUCUUUAAUUUCCUAAUCUUAAUGUUAUUAAAACUGUCAAUGAUUCAUAAAUUGGGUGCUUCAGUUCUUUGUUUGAUGAUUAUAAAGUUUAUAGUUAAUUACGCAUCAUUGGUUGCAAUAAUCAGUAAUUUGCCCAGAAACUAUUUGUGAAAAUGUUUCAAAGGCAAUGCUUGUAUUUAUUUUUUUUAUCGUGUAAAGGUUAAAUUGUUGCGGAAAUUUGCAUGUAAUGAUUAGGAUUGCAAGAAAACCGGUGAGUUACCAUGUUAGGAAGUGCGCGUGUUCGGCUGAACCGGUGGCAGCAGGCGGCUGUGGCGGUCGGUUCGGCUGUGGGCGCAUUGCUGGACCCAAGAAGAGCUGAUCUCAUAGCAGCUCUUGGAGAGACAACUGGGAAACCUGCAUUUGAAAGAGUUCUUGAAAGAAUGACGAGGAGCCCUGAAGGCAGGGUAGGCCUCUUCUGUCCUCACCCUUCUUGUUUAGUGAUUACAAUUCUUAAUCAAAUAACAUGUUAUGCGUUUAAGUAGUUGUUCGCCAAAAAAACUUUCUCGUAAUUAUGCACGGAGUUUCUGCUUAAGCUAUCUGAGUUAUGUUUUGUUAAUGAAGGUGUUGGGAGUUUCGGGUUAUUUGAGUCCAUAGCAUGUUUCUUUGAAAGUCUGCUUGAGGGAAGUCAUAUAUGAACUGAACAUUUUUUCUGUUAACAGCGGCAAGGGAAUCGUGAAAAUUGCUACCUGGGUUAUAUCCAUUUCUGGUCAAUUGAAGUCAUAUAUCAGUCUUUCGUGUAAAAUUGGCUAAAUAUUGUUCUUGUUGUUGUCGAGUAUUGAGUGCUGCUGCUCUUAGUUUAGAUAGGUGAUAGCUAAUGCAAACUGAAGUCAUAUAUUCUUCUUCCACUGCAGUAUAAAUAAUUGGUGUUCUUUUAUAGUGUUACUUAUAAUGUGCUUCUAAUUGAACUAUUCUUCUCAUGUAAACUGUUUUGCGUUGUUUUUGCCACCCGUAUAACGAACUAAGAAUGGCUAUUGCUCGAGAUAUCUAAAUUUUAUGGAAUCAGUACUUGAAAGCCAUUUGGUUGCUGGUAUGCAAUGAAAUCCUAUUUUGUCAACGGUUUUGCUUUGUUAUUCUAAGACCAAUGCAUUUCUUUCUUUACCAGGCCAUACUGUUGGAGAAACCCCGUGUAAUAUCUGUAAACGUGGGUCAUGCAUGGGAUCUACCAGCGAACACAUUUGGUGCUGCCUAUGCAAAGUUCAUGGGAUCUAGGAACUUCUCGCCAGAUGAUCGACCACCAGUGCGGUUCAUGGAGACAGAUGAGCUUGCAUAUGUGGCCAUGAGGGCUCGCGAGGUGCAUGACUUUUGGCACACCCUUUUUGGCCUUCCAACGAACUUGAUGGGGGAGUCGGCCCUCAAGGUAAUAGAGUUUGAGCAAAUGUACCUUCCCAUGUGCCUGAUGUCCGUCAUAGGGGCUCAGUGAGAUUCAACGAGAAGCAAAGGAAAUUGUUCUUUCAACACUACUUCCCUUGGGCCAUCCCAAGCUGGAAUGCAGUGCACGGAUCUCAUGUGCGUGUAUUACGAGCGGCACUUUCACGAGGAUUUGGAGGACGUUCGGAGAAAGUGGGGUAUAAUUCCUGCCCCUGCUCCUCCUAAACAAGCCUGACCAUCAGCAGCCUCAGCUUGUUUGGCGGAGAGACUGUAAAUUUCUCGAGCACAAUGUACCCAUUAACUUGUGUUUUUCUUGUCAACCCAAAUAAGUUUUUGUUUGCACACGUUAAUAGUUACAGGUCGAUUUCAAUUUACCUUCACAAAUUGAAUCUUCGUGUGCACAAUAUGUUAACGUAUAUCAACACCUCCGUUUUCCUCUUAAGUUAGGCGUUCUCUUCGGAAAAAUGCAACCGAGAUACGUAAAUACAAACUCCGUAGGCGUGUCCCCGGCCAGUGACGGCGUUUCCAAUCAUAAUCCGACAUAGAAAACAACAGAAAUGACCAUGUAAAGAUGGAGAAGAGAAAUUAAUCACUGAGAAAAUAACGAGAAACACGAAAUAUGCACUAGGAAAUGUUUGGUUUGUCCAUGAAAACGAAAUCUGUAUCAGAUGGUUUAUCCAUCUAAAAUAGAUCAUUCUUUGGCUGAAUGAUCCCAACAACCACAAGACCUAUAUUACAUCACAGAAUCCAUAGAGACUUCCAUUGUUUAUAUAACGGAUCAACGAAACGAAGGGCAUGUCUGUCUCAGUUACCACCCGGUCCACCAAAGAGGUAACCCAAAGAAGAUCCACCGCCCGGGGCAGCAUGGACCUUGGUCGAGGGUCGAUCCUGCACGCAGGGAGAAUCAAUAUGAACAUCAAAAUAACACAAAUUGUGCAUAAAAUAGAACGAAAACACUAUAUCAAACAAUGAAGAAGGAUAAGCCAAUUCCAGCAGCUAUAUAAACCGUUUCAGUGAACAAAUUAUAAACACCAAGAUAUUUGGAUAAUAAUUAAAAAGAUAAUGAAAUAUCGGAAGAUUCAUUGGGGUGUAACCAUGUAAGUAAACUAGGUUUUGUCUAACCCCCAAACAAUGAGGAGAAUCAUACCGUUAUGAAGUUUCCGGUGUUCUGGCCAUCUGCACGCAUGUAGUUGUUUGUAGAGGUGCUAUGGAUACCAGCAGCAGGAAUCGCCUUGGUGAUAUCAACUGGUUCAGGAGCAGGAGCAGGAGCAACAGGCUUGGAAGCAGGCUCAUCUGGAACUGGCGCAGCUUGAGCAUUGUUGGCAGCCGGUUUUGGAGCCUCUCCACUCCCAAAAAGAUAGUUCAAAGAACUCUGUCCCCCACCGCUGCUAACUCCACGACCCAUGUUCUGUAAC